Molecule: ribosomal RNA, 494 nt
Filed under: uncultured bacterium
Lineage: Bacteria
Description: partial 16S ribosomal RNA
Rfam family: Bacterial small subunit ribosomal RNA
Source: RNAcentral
GACGAACGCUGGCGGCGUGCUUAACACAUGCAAGUCGAACGGUGAAGCCCCUUCUUUUUUGGCGGGUGUGGAUGAGUGGCGAACAGGUGCGCAACACUUGAGUAACCUGCCCCCUUCUUCUGGAUAACCGCAUGAAAGUGUGUCUAAUACGGGAUAUUCUGGGUCUGUCUCAUGAUGGGUCUGGGUAGGUUAUUGUUUCGGUGGGGGAUGGGCGCGCGGCCUAUCAGCUUGUUGGCGGGGUGAUGGCCUACCAAGGCGGUGACGAGUAGCCGGCCUGGGAGGGUGGACGGGCAGGCUGGGACUGAGGCACGGCCAAGACUGCAACGGGAGGCAGCAGUGGAGCAUAUGGGACAAUGGGGGCGAGCCUGAUGCAGCAACGGCGCGUGAGUGAUGGAGGCAUGCGGGUUGUGAGCCGCUUUCGUUAGUGAUGCAAAGCUGCCUCGUUCGGGGGGGUAUUGACGGUAGCUGGAGAAGAAGCGCCGGCUAACUACGUG